CUGGACUGGACUGGACUGGACUGGACUGGACUGGGGAGGGGAACGGACGCACGAGGUGUCUGAGACCAGUCCAUAAAGCCUGUCCCCUCUCUGCUGACAGAUUUCCAAGCGGCUGAAGUUGGAUGUAUCCCAGCAGCGGACUGAGACCUGCUGUCAGCAGGGCGAGAAAAGUUUGCAGGGAAAAGAAGAUGAAACAUCCAGGAGUUUGCCAACAAACAGGUGGAUGCAAUUAAACGCACUCGCCUUCAGACCGUCUGCAAGGAGUCAAGGUCAAGAUGUGCUGAGAGCCGAUGGGGAYGAAGCAGGCGAGGAAGGCUCUCCUCUUCUCACAGUCAAACAUCUGCCCGUUGUCACAUUCCUGCACAGUCUAAUUCUGCAAAUUAAACCUCCUUCGUUCUCAUUGUUGUCAGAUCAUUACUUCCCUUUCCCUUCACCACAAGUAGUCCUUCUCCUGAGCGCCGAGGUGUCUGCACGGUUUGGUAAAACCUGCCCUGCAGACCGGACCUCUCCAGUCUUCAAAGGAGGCAGAACUCAAUGUGGGGGGAUUUGUUCAGGCUUAUUUGGUAACCUGGGAUUUGAAUUGGAUUCUUGGAGGCAUUCAUAACACAUUUGAAAAUGUUGCAUUGUGUGAUUUUGUGUGUAAUCCCCAUAAUAAAUUUUAGAAGUGGUCACAGCA
Austrofundulus limnaeus is the source of this 676-nucleotide long non-coding RNA. RefSeq lists it as uncharacterized. Lineage: Eukaryota; Metazoa; Chordata; Actinopteri; Cyprinodontiformes; Rivulidae. The transcript has 2 exons. The record is from RefSeq and is a predicted model, not a curated record.